Molecule: ribosomal RNA, 431 nt
Filed under: uncultured bacterium
Lineage: Bacteria
Description: partial 16S ribosomal RNA
Rfam family: Bacterial small subunit ribosomal RNA
Source: RNAcentral
AACGAACGCUGGCGGCAUGCCUAACACAUGCAAGUCGAACGAGACCUUCGGGUCUAGUGGCGCACGGGUGCGUAACGCGUGGGAACCUGCCCUUAGGUUCGGAAUAACUCCCGGAAGGGGUUCUUAUAACCGGAUAAUUUCUUCGAACAAAGAUUUAUCGCCUUUGGAUGGGCCCGCGUUGGAUUAGCUUGUUGGUAGGGUAAAAGCCUUACAAGGCGAAGGUCCAUUGGUGGGCGGGGGGGAGGAUCAGCCCACCUGGGACUGGAGCACGGCCCCAACCCCUACGGGAGGAAGCAGUGGGGAAUAUUGGACAUGGGGCGAAAGCCUGACCCAGCAAUGCCGGGUGAGUGAUGAAGGCCUUAGGGUUGAAAAGCUUUUUUCCCCGGGAUGAUAAGGAAAGGCCCGGGAGAAAAAGCCCCGGCGAACCCCGG